Long non-coding RNA from Lolium rigidum, 4895 nucleotides. RefSeq lists it as uncharacterized. Lineage: Eukaryota; Viridiplantae; Streptophyta; Magnoliopsida; Poales; Poaceae. The transcript is spliced from 6 exons. The record is from RefSeq and is a predicted model, not a curated record.
CCACCCUCCGCCUCCUCCCGCUUCCAAAGUCUGCGGAGCUCGGAGGACCUCCAGUUCGCCGGCUUCCUCCCUCAGAUCCACACAGUCGCAGGCCGGGAUCGCCCCUUCACGCAUCCAAAUGGGUGUAUCUCGCGAUCCAAAAGAAAGAGCAUGCGUUGGCUCUGCGAGCUCUAGAAGCAGCGGAGGAGCCGAAUUUCGCGGAGGUAGCGGAAGUUCUGAUGCCUUGACUCCAGAUGCCGCUACCCCUCUCUCCGAUUCACCGCCAUCGCCGGGGUCAUAGAACAACAGGGCAUGCAAUAUCGAAGCAGAAGAGUUGGAGACGGACAUUCCACCUGUUAUCUCUUCUGAAGCGCCGGCAUCACCGCAUACAUUUGAGAAUAGGUCAUACGAUAACCAGGAGGAACAACUGAUGCCUGAGGAUUUCCAUGUUCGCGGAUCAGAAUCGCCCGAGUCGACACAUCUAUGGAAGAGGAGGUUUGUUGUAUUAUUUGUUUUUAAGUGUAUCGUUCAUGCUGGUCCUAUACGUGUGGCAGCUUUUUUUCAUACAUGUUUAGUUUUCAGGAUGAAUAGAUAGACAGGUAGUGCUCUAUUGUAAGCAUCCCAGUAGGGCUGGUUGCGAUACUGGGUUCGCCUUAUUUUUAAGUACUAAGUUGAAUAGUCAGUUGUAGAACAAUGGAUAGUCAAACAUUCCGUUAUUAAAAUCAAGUUAAUAACUGAUCGAGUUCUCCUCGGAGAAGCAAGAUAGCAUCUAAGAGCUAAAAUGCUUAUGAUAUUUUUGAGCAAAUAGAUGCAGCCUAAUAGUACCUUUGCAAAAAUAUGGCCCGUUGUUGUUUUGAGUCUCCCCGCUGCCGCCGCCUCGAUCCUACACGUCGUGGGCCUCCAAGAGCCAGCACGCGACGCCUCCUCGUGAGUCUGCCCGCUGCUAUGUACCGCAACCCGCUGACCUGAUCAGAGACCACGGCGGCUGAUGGUAAAUGUUUCCGCUCCGUUGACAAGCUCCGCCGAUGCCUCUGAUGACAACAAAUUCGUUCUCCCAGCAUGAAGGACGAGAUAAUCCGCAGUACCUAAACAACUAGAUAGCCUGUGGCGGUCUGGGAGGCGCCUCCUUGCACCAGCACCUCGAAGCAAAUGCCUCAAGCUCCUUCCCGAUGGUAGCCCCAUCCAGAGCACCACGCAUCAUUAUUGGAAAAAACUACUGAUACUAUUUAUCGUCGUUUCUUUUGUUGAUUCAAUGGCUGACGGAAAUAGUGAUUAUUUCUAGCACAGGUUGAUAAAUGGAGCACGGUGGCUCUGCCAAUCCCCCAUUAGGUUUCACUCUCAUUUGCCAUUGUGAUGAUUCCAUUUUGUUUCCGGAGAUUUUCCUUGAUCAGCGAUGUUUCUUUAUUCUCUUGCUUCUUAUUAUUGUGACUAGGUUUACUUUGAAUCAACUGAAACUUGUUGAUCAUGAAUAGGCAAUGGUUGGUCAUCUAUCGUAUUGUGCACUCAUUAAAUCAGUAUCAACUUGCAGUACUAGGAUGGUAAUAUUAGUAUUUCAGUUUUAUUCUGUUCUAGAAGAAUGGAGAUUUUUAUUCUUGUCGCGAUCGGUUUGAGCGGGGUGUGCUCCGCCUGGUCAUCGACGAGUACUGGUUGCCAUGGACUGGUCAGAGGUGAGCGGUGAGCGGUGUGCAUGUGUAUUUUUUUGUUGCCGUAAUUCUUCUCUGGAAUUGGUCUAUGCAAUCCUUCAAAUUGCAUGCCUAGAAGAAAUGUACCGAGAGCUUGGUGAUGGGUGUUCAUUACCGAGGAAAAAUGAUCCGUCCAAUUAUAUAGAGCUACACAGCAGGUACUAUCUAGAAAAGCUCAUUGGGAGUCCAGAGCGGAGGUACCGAGUUAACCAGUAAACUUUUGAAGUCUUUUUACAUAGUUAUUAGUAUAGACUACUGGAAUCUUUUUAAAUAGUUAUUAGUAUAGACAGAAGUUUAUCUUACAGUGUCCGCUUGCUCUGUUUUUCUCCAUGGAACAGGUUUACAGAUGUACUUUAUGACAUGUCAAAGAGGUCCAAGAGCCUUUGUUGAAAUAGCAUGCCAACUGAUAUCUAUACUCAGGAGCAAUAGGAGUCAUUCCCAAUACCUUUUGAACUCUUGGAAGUUGUCACAAAUAGAACUAAAAAAUCCCAGGACAAAAGUAAAGAAUCUGAGCCCAUUAAGAUUUCAAACUAGAAUUAGCUUAUUUGGACUAGAAUUUGCAAUUUGCUGCUAAUUCAGUUUCAUAUUUUUAUGGUACUUGUGAAGGAUAUAAAAUAUAUAUGUAGAACUUAAUUAAAAUUUAUAUAUUAUUAAUUUCCAGACCCAUCUAGCGCAACUGUUUCAAGGCAAAAAAAUAUUGUCACUUUCUUAUCUCAUAAAAUGUCAGUGUGGUUUGGUGACUGAGUUUGAGUGCUUAGCCAUCAUACUGUUGUUCAUUGUUUCACAUUUGGAUGGUUCAUGUGGAGUAAGGAGUUUUUAUUCUCAGGUUGGUCCUGCCAGAACAUUGACAAGACUGAAUUUUGAAGAGCAUUGUUUGUUAUAUUUGUCACUUGGUUGAUCAUCACUUCCGUUUAUAAGACUCUUUUGCUCUCUGUAAUUGGUUAAUUAUGAUUUAUAUGAUUUAUUUUUCUUUCAUAUAUACGAUGAUGAAUUGACGAAGUGUCUGGCAAGGGGGUAUAUUUUUGAGUCACUUCUCGCACAACUCUACUGAUGUGCUUCUCAGAACCUAAAUUUAGUAGGGCGCCAGAGAGGCCUAAGAUUUCAUAGGUUCAGCUAUUAUCUAGCAAUAAAACUGUUGUAGCAAUCAGUGUCAACUACCAGUUAGGCAUUUUGAGGAUGAGCACCAGUCAGAACCAGUAAUGCAAAUUAUGAACCAUCACGUAUUUUAGGUUUUCUUGGAAAUUAGAUCCGAUGUAUCUGGAGUUGAAUGAAAUAAGAUGUUAAUGGAUAGCUUCUGAAUUCUUUAUGCAUUUGUGUCUUCAAAGUAACAAAUAAACGGAUAUAGGUGAAUCCUGCAGUUUUUCCAUUCACACAGUCCAACAUGCAAAUAAAAGCAGUAUGAAUCUGUUCAGUUAAUUAAUUUUCCAUAUAUAAGUAGAACUGCCACUUUGGAGUAAUAGUAUUUUGAAACUUGAAUAUAGUUCUGUACAGAUUUUCACUUCACGUGCUGGAAGCAUUCAGCUGUUCAUCUAAACCUGAAUUUAUGCUCUGUAGUGUCUCUCCUAUUAUAGCAUCUAUGUUGAUACCAAAGGAUUGAUGAUAGGCUUGCAGUGAAUUUCAAAAUCACUAUACUGUUUGAAAAGUUUAAAUGCAAUGUACUCCACUCCUAACUGAAACUCUUGUUUAAGUUGACUGAAGGAUGUUAGAACUCUUGUUUAAGGAUGGCUUCUGUGCAGUACCCGAGUCAUAAUUUUGCAAAAUUAGUUUUCUGAAUUUGUCUGAACCCUAUCUGUAGCAACCCUGUUAAAGAUAAAUGCUAUAGUCAGCUAACUUUUAUCCAUGCAAUUUUUAAUAAAGAAAAUAAAAAGAAUAACCAGGGAAAAGAUACUGAAAAUGUUUGCAUCAUGUGGUAAAUUUGUGUAUUAUUACCAUGAUCAUGUUUUUGCGAAUAGUCCAAGUAGACUUUAUACUCCUUUUCAUGGAAUUCAUUUUCCCUGGAACUGAUUUUCAUCUGGCUGCUGUUUCAGAACCCAGGAGCAUGCUUAAGUGCAAUGGCUCACAUUAACAUACUCGAAAGCUCCGUCCUUGUGCAUGACAAUGGAGAUGAUCUGCUGAAAGCUGAUGGCUCUGAAAACUGAUGGCUCUCUGUUAUGGACAACCAUCUGUCUACCUGGCGGUUUCCUCAAAAUGAUAUGGCCAUUGCCGCACCAAAUUAUCCAUGUGCAUGCCUACGUUAAGAUUUAUGCUCCAGUAUUAUUUACUAUCUCUCUCUCCGCCAACAUUAUUCUUAACUUUCUUUUAUUGCUUGGAAUCCCAGUGACGUACAUCCAGUUCAGUCCUGUCAAUUAGAAGUGGGUUGAUGUAUUGUCCAAAUUGCAUGUCGAUGAUGAGUGGGCAGAGGAGUAACACAUGCUGAAAAUUCGAAUGGCUAACGGUGGCCAUGAAGCCCAUGAGGCAUGAGUGGUUUGGGACGUCGAUGGCGGCCGUGCAGCCGGUGUGGCAGAGGAGGAUAUUGAUGGGGAUGCGGUGUGAGCUGCCGCGGUUCAGCGGGCUCAUACUGUACGAUGAGCAAGGCCGAAGCCUCCACCUCGGCACUCCAGGCAGAAGAAACCAUCUCCAGUGAUGUUGUAGGGUUGUUUGGCUGCAGCCGGAGACGAACAUUGCGGAGGCGAGCAUCAAAAAUUUGUCGGCGCCAGGAGCGGAGCUGUGUGUGCUGGAGAUCGAGGGGAUACUAGCGUCCUGGGCAGCGAUGAAGAAGAUCGAGAAGCAACUCCUAGGUGCUCCUGGGCAGCGAGGAAGAGGAUCGAGCGGAGUUGUGCGUGCUGGCGACUAGGGAUCGAGAGGACCAAGGGAUUGAUGGUAGGGACGACCUGGGGAGGAGGAGAAGCAGCUCCCAGGUGUGGAAGCUAGGAAGAGCACUGGCGACCUAGGGAGGGCGAGAAGCAGCGACGGCUUGGGGAGUCCUUUUCAGUGCUCCCUCCCUUAGCGAGGGAUCGUGGAGGCCUGGGCGGUGGAGUCACCGGUGGAGGCGGAGGGCGAUCGAAAUCUAGGAAGAGCGAUUCUAAAUCUAGGAAGAUACCGAUACAAAAUCUAGGUGUGAGAUUUACUGCGGAAGAGUAGCAAAAAAACCUAAAACUUGGAACCACGCAGAUGUAUAAUAAUGUUGUUUUGUUACUACUGUCGGUAUUAUCAUGUUUUAGUACAUUAUGAUAUUUCUGAUUUUUUUUAAACUUU